Small nucleolar RNA from Coffea arabica (coffee), 107 nucleotides. NCBI's taxonomy places the organism in Eukaryota, Viridiplantae, Streptophyta, Magnoliopsida, Gentianales, Rubiaceae. The record is from RefSeq and is a predicted model, not a curated record.
AGUCCAUGGUGAGGACAUUUCUGCAGCAAAUUUAUAAAUCUUUUGCACGCUUCAUAUAAUGAUUCACCAUCUUACUGACUAAAAUUAGUAAUGUCCAUUCUAAAUUU